RNAcentral lists this long non-coding RNA (910 nucleotides) under Panax ginseng (ginseng). Its description in RNAcentral is "long non-coding RNA (PGIN_LNC001457)". The record is from RNAcentral. Lineage: Eukaryota; Viridiplantae; Streptophyta; Magnoliopsida; Apiales; Araliaceae.
UUUCCAAUGUUUUAUUAAGGCUAAAAAUUGGUUUUUCUUUAGCUUUAAUAAAUCUGUCAUUACUAUUAUCUUUGUUUAAUAAAUCUUUUAAUUGUUUAGUAUACUGAGCUUUUAGUUUAGGAUCAGUAAUUUUACUGAUUAGUUCAAUUAAAAAAGAGCUCUCUUCAUCAUCUUUGUUAAGUACAUUAACUCUUUUCGUGCAGCAAUUCUUAUUGCAAUUAUCAGCACAAAUAGUGACUUCUUCUGUGUCACUGCUUGAUGAUAAAUCUGUUUUAGAAGAAUUAGAGAUUGAAGAACCUUCAUCAAUACUAACGUCGUUCUCAAUUCUCAUAAGUUCUAAUAUGUGUUCAGUAUCUUCACUAGAGAUAUUUAGCUGAUUUAGUUUUUGUUUUAUUUUACAUUCACUUUUAUAGUGACCCUUUUGCCCGCAAUUGUGGCAAACAACUUUAUUCUUAUCGUAUUUUUUGGACUUAUAUUUUUUAAUAUGUCUUUUAUUAGUGGUUUUAGGCUUAUUAUAAUAAUUGUCUUGAUUUUUUAUCUUUGUGGUAACUUCGUUUUCUCCUAUGAUGUUUAGUAUUUUUGUGAGAUUCAAUAUGUUUAUGCCUAUGCUUCCUUCGGGAGGGAGCUAUUGGCGGUAAGCCAUAUUGUUCACAGAAAGUGCCUAACUUAUAUUUGGCCUUUUUCUUGUCUUUACUAGCCUGUUUGGCUAAUCUAAAAUCAAUACACAUUUUUAAUCCAAUCUUUUGAAUAUAACUAAUUAUAUCACCGUAGGUUAAGUUAUCAUAGUCAAUAUAACCUAGGUUUUUACUUAAUUCUUCACGAACUUAAUGGGCAAACAAUGAAGGUAAACCAUUGACAAAUUUUUCUUUCCAAAAUGGUUUAUUGCUAUCAUUGCGUAACAUAACUCUGG